UACAGAAGCAGGCAAAGACACAGAAAGAUCACCAGAAACUUCUGCUGUUUACAAAAACUACUGAAAGAGAAUCCAUCUAUCCAGAACGGUCAGAAUGAGGUGCUUUUGUGUGGUCAUCUGGAUUCUUCUCUCGGAAGUGGCUGCUGAGGCGCCAGAUAUCAGAGUGGCAGGACAUGUUGGAGGAUCAGUGAAGAUCCAGUGUCCUCACCUGUUAGCUAAAACCAACACAAAGUAUUUCUGCAGGUAUCCGUGUAUAAAAAAUCAGGACAUGUUGAUUAAAUCUGGUCAGUCACUUACUGGAAGAUACACACUGGAGGAUUCAGGCAAUGGAGACAUCACUGUGACCAUCAUUGACCUCCAGAAAUCAGACGCUGGAACUUACUGGUGUGGAGUGGAGAGAUUACUAAUGAUGGACACGUAUCAUGAGGUGCUCCUCACAGUCACAGAUGCUCCCUCCACCCACAAACACCCACCCAAAGCUACUCCAACAGCAGCUGCUGUAAGAACAGUGAGAUUUAAGUUCUUCACCACCUCUUCAUCCACUCUCCCUCCCUCCAUCACCCACCAUCCACCAUCUCCUCCUCCUCUGCACCUAAACCAACAUUUCCAGCUCAGCACUCACUCAACAUCUCAUCACCUACCAGAGAGAUUCUACUGUAUGUUGCUGCUGGACUUGUCACUGUGAUUGUAUUCAGCAUCGCUGCUGUAAUCUACACUGGUAGAGGACCAAAAAGACGAUCUAAACUUCAAAGUGAUCUCAUCUCAGCGAUGUCCUCCACUGCUGGUCUAGAAGAAGAAGAUCUACACUCACAUGUCUGCUUUACUGUCAUCAACUGCUCUGCUGGCUUCACGUCAGAGACUCUCAACAACCAAGCUUUGGACAACCUGCUGUACUCCACAGAGAAAGGACUACUCGCACAUGUGAUCUACAGCUUAGACAGAUAAUCAUUCAUCUUUCACCACAGUGAAGAACUGCAAUGUAAGAGGACUGAUUGCAUUUUUUACAUUGAUUACAAAAUUCUUUUACUGAUGUAUAAAGCUCUAAACAGCCUCACCCCUCAGCACCUGAGUGAACUUCUCUGUUAUUAUGAACCAUCAUACCUACGUAGAUCACAAGGUGCUGGAUUACUAUUAGCACCUAGAAUUAAUAAAGUUACAUGGGGGGGUUGGGGGUGCUAUAUAAACUGGGAGAACUGGUGGUGUCGUCCCACUGCUCUCACACAUUCCCUCAAGUUUGCUGACGGUGGAGUAGAGGGGUGCUGCCAUCUCAGGGAGCACUCAUAACUUGUAUCUUCUGGUUUCUGCCUUUUAGUCAGGCUGCAAUAACUUAACCUGCCCCAGUGUCUGCUGCUCUCUGUUAAUCCUGUAAACUGUAAUUAGUCACUAUCAGCAGAACAAACUUCUAGCUUCACGCUGUCCAAAGCUGUGCAGACCUCACCUGCAUGAACUGACCUUUCUGAAACUAUUUAAUCAAAACCAUUGCUUCACCUGUUUUUCCCCGUUUCUGUAUUUUAAUAUUUUAUACUAAUGUUGUUUGU
Pygocentrus nattereri (red-bellied piranha) is the source of this 1538-nucleotide RNA transcript. It is a transcript of the gene named CMRF35-like molecule 8, with no coding region annotated. The record is from RefSeq and is a predicted model, not a curated record. NCBI's taxonomy places the organism in Eukaryota, Metazoa, Chordata, Actinopteri, Characiformes, Serrasalmidae. The transcript has 5 exons.